This is a long non-coding RNA of Psammomys obesus (fat sand rat), 539 nucleotides long. RefSeq lists it as uncharacterized. NCBI's taxonomy places the organism in Eukaryota, Metazoa, Chordata, Mammalia, Rodentia, Muridae. The transcript has 3 exons. The record is from RefSeq and is a predicted model, not a curated record.
GGGGGGGAAUGGCCAGAGCUGCGAUCGCGGUCCAGGUGGAGGGGUCUGCAGAGAUGGGGACAGCGGCAAACACCGCCGUGGAGCAAGCGACGACAUCUUCACUGAUGAGUGACUGAGCUAGAGGCGGCGUGGAGAGGGAACAACCCCUCUUCAUUGAUGGAAUCUGUUAAAAUCCGCUGAUAAAACUGUGAAGAUCGUGGAAGCUUUCGCAGCUGCUGGCAUCCCUGCCUCCCCCUCACUCUCUGAAGAUUUUAGCACCUGGCUCAUUGUCAUUCUCUUCACUCCCACCUCUUUGUAACCCUUGAUGACUUUUUCCUUCUUCUGGGGGGCCUGGGAAUUGUUCUGGGCUCUCAAUGACUCAGUGCACCAGAGGCAGUUCCCCCACCGUGGAUGGCAGAUGGCUUGUAAGGACAGCCACUGCCCUGCUCUCUGUCUCAGAUGACCCACGCCCACUCUUGGCUGUUUCUCAGCAGGAGUAUUCUGCCUGCAUCUGUACCAGCAAGCCAGAAGAGGGCACCAGAUCUCACUACAGAUGGUUG